UACGUAGGGUGCAAGCGUUAAUCGGAAUUACUGGGCGUAAAGCGUGCGCAGGCGGUGAUGUAAGACAGGUGUGAAAUCCCCGGGCUUAACCUGGGAACUGCAUCUGUGACUGCAUCGCUGGAGUGCGGCAGAGGGGGAUGGAAUUCCGCGUGUAGCAGUGAAAUGCGUAGAUAUGCGGAGGAACACCGAUGGCGAAGGCAAUCCCCUGGGCCUGCACUGACGCUCAUGCACGAAAGCGUGGGGAGCAAACAGG
Molecule: ribosomal RNA, 253 nt
Filed under: uncultured bacterium
Lineage: Bacteria
Description: partial 16S ribosomal RNA
Rfam family: Bacterial small subunit ribosomal RNA
Source: RNAcentral